This 81-nucleotide transfer RNA is filed under the name Ipomoea nil (Japanese morning glory). It matches the Rfam family "tRNA". Rfam says of the family: Transfer RNA (tRNA) molecules are approximately 80 nucleotides in length. Their secondary structure includes four short double-helical elements and three loops (D, anti-codon, and T loops). Lineage: Eukaryota; Viridiplantae; Streptophyta; Magnoliopsida; Solanales; Convolvulaceae. The record is from Rfam by way of RNAcentral.
GUUGAGGUGGCUUAGUUAGUCUAAGGCGCCAGAUUAAGGUUCUGGUCCAAAAGGGCUUGGGUUCAAAUCCCACUCUCAAUA